RNAcentral lists this long non-coding RNA (1917 nucleotides) under Sus scrofa (pig). Its description in RNAcentral is "lncRNA (ENSSSCG00005041271.1)". The record is from RNAcentral. Lineage: Eukaryota; Metazoa; Chordata; Mammalia; Artiodactyla; Suidae.
CUAUUUAGGGCCACACAUGCAGCAUAGGGAAGUUCCCAGGCUAGGGGUCAAAUUGGAGAUGCAGCUGCUCGCUUACGCCUCAGCCACAGAAACACCAGAUCAGAGCCAUGUCACCACUGAGCCACAAGAGCAACUCCUGAAAUCCUUUUUAAUCUAUAGUUUUUUUCCUUCCUUUCUUGUCUUUGCAGUGACAAGCAAUGCUUUUACUAGUCAGUGGUUGAAUAAAUACAUCAAUACUUUAACUGUUCAAUAAUAUAUUGAAUCCAUUUUUAUUCACUAAAAUAAUCGGAUUUUUAGAAUAAUCUAUAUAUCCUAUCUACUGACAAUGUUUAGGAUGUAUAUUUUUCAAAGUUUCAUUACAAUAUUAUAAUAACUGAGAGGGUCAUGGACUGUCAACUACUAUACUUUUUUUUUUUUUUUUUUUUGCUAUUUCUUGGGCCGCUCCCACGGCAUAUGGAGGUUCCCAGGCUAAGGGUCGAAUCAGAGCUGUAGCCACCAGCCUACGCCAGAGCCACAGCAACACCAGAUCCGAGCCGCGUCUGCAACCUACACCACAGCUCACGGCAAUGCCGGAUCGUUUAACCCACUGAGCAAGGCCAGGGACCGAACCCGCAACCUCAUGGUUCCUAGUCGGAUUCGCUUCCGAGCCAUGACUUCCCACUGUGACAGGUUCCAGGCCGGGAGCCAUCGAAUACCCUCUGAAUUGCACAGCAGCGCCUGGCUUCAUCCCCGGACCUUAUCAUGGGACUGCGUCCUCCCCUUGUUUAUGAAAGAAAGUAUUGUGUUGGGUAAGGUUGACACCGAUUGACAUGUUACUUCAUUUAAGAAGGAUAAUAAGCAAUUUAUUCGGAUCAACAUCCUCUGUACAGCAAGUAACGCAUUUCAAAGUUAGUCACAAGACAACAUUCCAACUCACUGUGGUCACUAUGGAUGACCAUAUAGAACAUGCCACAAAGCUUAAUCCUUCACAUUCCAGAACAUCCAGUAACUCUAAAAGGACUUACACACACAAGUCAAAAAGCCCCACCCCACCAAUAGGCUUUUUUCUUCACAGUGGGUAAGGCAGUCUAAAACUACAAAUAUGGGAGGUCCAAAAGUCUGGACUUGGAGAACAGACUUGUGGUUGCCAAGGGGGAGGGGGAGGGAGUGGGAUGGACUGGGAGUCCAGGGUUAAUAGAUGCAAACUAUUGCAUUUGGAAUGGAUAAGCAAUGAGAGCCUGUUGUAUAGCAUUGGGAACUCUAUCUGGUCACUUAUGAUGGAGCAUGAUGGACGAUAAUAUAAGAAAAAGAAUGUAAGUGUGACUGGGUCACUUUGCUGUACAGGAGAAAAUUGACAGAACACUGUAAACCAGUUAUAAUGGAAAAAUGAAAAAUCGUUUAGGAAAAAAACCCACAAAAAUAAGCACAAGGGUGAAAAAAAAAGAAAUCUAAAAUUAAGUGCCCAAUAAUAAUAAAAAUAAAGACCACUAAUUACUAAGGGCCUACGUGUGAAAAAACUAGGUAAGGGUGCUUUACACAUGUUACUUCAUUUUAAUCCAAACAAACCCAUAAUGUCUGUAAAUGAACAAGUUAGCAGCUGUAGAAACUGACAAGAUUAGUAAAUAAACUGAGAACACUGCGCAUCUGGUUUCCUUCUAUAUUUUCAAAGAAUAAGCUGUUACAUAGAGUUGUAGGAGAUCAAGGUCUCAAAUUAAAAUGCAAUUAUGAUUUCAAUGUUUUUAUAUUAAUUCUGAACCUCAAACAAAAGCAAGGGACAUCUCAAAAAAGGAUAAUUAAUUCACUAUCUUAAAUAUUUCAUGAAGAAAGAAUACAUUCGUCUUAUCAAAAGUAAUAGUAGGAAAAGCAGAAAUCACAUUAUGGCUAACAAAUCAGAGAUGCUUAUUCAAUUCAAUCCUCUUCAGUUAAUAUCUCACUAUU